RNAcentral lists this ribosomal RNA (301 nucleotides) under uncultured bacterium. RNAcentral describes it as "partial 16S ribosomal RNA". It matches the Rfam family "Bacterial small subunit ribosomal RNA", at positions 509 to 808 of the family's 1533-position model. The record is from RNAcentral.
CAGUCGCCGCGGGAAUACGAAGGGUGCAAGCGUUAUCGGAAUUACUGGGCGUAAAGCGUGCGUAGGCGGUGAGUUAAGUCUGCUGUGAAAUCCCCGGGCUCAACCUGGGAAUGGCAGUGGAUACUGGCUCGCUAGAGUGUGUCAGAGGAUGGUGGAAUUCCCGGUGUAGCGGUGAAAUGCGUAGAGAUCGGGAGGAACAUCAGUGGCGAAGGCGGCCAUCUGGGACAACACUGACGCUGAGGCACGAAAGCGUGGGGAGCAAACAGGAUUAGAUACCCGUGUAGUCCCUGUCUCUUAUACA